UUGCUUCAGCAGCAUGUAUACUAAGAUUGGAACGAUACAGAGAAGGUUAGCAUGGCCCCUGCACGAGGAUGACAUGCAAAUUUGUGAAGCGUUCCAUAUUUUU
Sciurus carolinensis (gray squirrel) is the source of this 103-nucleotide small nuclear RNA. Lineage: Eukaryota; Metazoa; Chordata; Mammalia; Rodentia; Sciuridae. The record is from RefSeq and is a predicted model, not a curated record.